GGUCAGGAUGAACGCUAGCUACAGGCUUAACACAUGCAAGUCGAGGGGCAGCAUGAGAUUAGCUUGCUAAUCUUGAUGGCGACCGGCGCACGGGUGAGUAACGCGUAUCCAACCUUCCCCUACUCAGGCAUAGCCCGGUGAAAACCGGAUUAACUCCUGAUAGUUUCACUAGAUGGCAUCUGACGGUGAAUAAAGCUUUGCGGUAAGGGAUGGGGAUGCGUCUGAUUAGCUUGUUGGCGGGUAACGGCCCACCAAGGCGACGAUCAGUAGGGGUUCUGAGAGGAAGGUCCCCCACAUUGGAACUGAGACACGGUCCAAACUCCUACGGGAGGCAGCAGUGAGGAAUAUUGGUCAAUGGGCGCGAGCCUGAACCAGCCAAGUAGCGUGCAGGACGACGGCCCUAUGGGUUGUAAACUGCUUUUGUGCGGGAAUAAAGUCAGGGACGUGUCCCUGUUUGCAUGUACCGCAAGAAUAAGGACCGGCUAAUUCCGUGCCAGCCGCCGC
RNAcentral lists this ribosomal RNA (504 nucleotides) under uncultured bacterium. RNAcentral describes it as "bacterial SSU rRNA". It matches the Rfam family "Bacterial small subunit ribosomal RNA", at positions 22 to 518 of the family's 1533-position model. The record is from RNAcentral.